Molecule: long non-coding RNA, 341 nt
Organism: Apodemus sylvaticus (European woodmouse)
Lineage: Eukaryota; Metazoa; Chordata; Mammalia; Rodentia; Muridae
Exons: 3
Source: RefSeq, a predicted model, not a curated record
GCUCAGUGCAAUGGCUCAGACGGUGCCCAGCCCAGCCUGCUAGCAGCAGAGAGAUAAACUGGUAGGUGGCAGCAGAGAAAGGAGUUCUUCAGACUGAUGGCUGACAUUAAACCUGCGUAGGAGAAGAGAUAGCAUGAGCCAUACCACGUGGAGCAAGGCCCAGCAGAGAUGAGAGCUGGACUCGGGAAGCGGCCUCUUUACUGAAUGGUUCUCUCGAAGUAACCAGUGAUCUUCUGGAUGAAGACAGAUCUGUGUCACUUUUUAGAGUAGAAAAAGAAUGCAGAAUAAGAAAGAAUUCGUUAUAUCUUGUUGCACUCAGUUUUCUUUUUCUAAAUUAAAAA